GGAGGCCCUGAUUUGUCUCCUCGAGUCUAUUCUUUUGAAGCGGAAAGGAGAUCCAAUUUCUUUAUCGAGUCAACCGACCAUUGAAAAUCGACGUACAGGUCCCGGAGUCGAGAAAAAAUAUUGAAGCAGAUUAGAGAAUUGAAAGAUUGGGCCAAAGGCCCACUUUUAAAUUCCAAAAUUUGUAUUUUGUUAUCUAUUGGGGCCUAAGCCCAUUUAGUUGCUAUUCUUAUUUUGUUAGAAGCUUAAGACAGGUGAAAAAUUGGGCCUAAAACCCAAAGAAAAAACAAAUAUUUCUUUAACGAUAGUAUAGGACAGGUGCAGGUGGCUCAAAUGGGCCGAAGGCCCAAUAUGAAAAUGGGCCCAAGUGCCGGCCCAGGCAGACAGGAAAACCGGAUUUGGGCCCAAGUUCCUUUCUC
This 416-nucleotide long non-coding RNA is filed under the name Solanum tuberosum (potato). Its description in RNAcentral is "long non-coding RNA (STUB_LNC000943)". Lineage: Eukaryota; Viridiplantae; Streptophyta; Magnoliopsida; Solanales; Solanaceae. The record is from RNAcentral.